Molecule: ribosomal RNA, 411 nt
Filed under: uncultured bacterium
Lineage: Bacteria
Description: bacterial SSU rRNA
Rfam family: Bacterial small subunit ribosomal RNA
Source: RNAcentral
GACGAACGCUGGCGGCGUGCUUAACACAUGCAAGUCGAACGAAGAGCGAUGGAAGCUUGCUUCUAUCAAUCUUAGUGGCGAACGGGUGAGUAACGCGUAAUCAACCUGCCCUUCAGAGGGGGACAACAGUUGGAAACGACUGCUAAUACCGCAUACGAUCUGACCUCGGCAUCGAGGAUAGAUGAAAGGUGGCCUCUAUUUAUAAGCUAUCACUGAAGGAGGGGAUUGCGUCUGAUUAGCUAGUUGGAGGGGUAACGGCCACCAAGGCGAUGAUCAGUAGCCGGUCUGAGAGGAUGAACGGCCACAUUGGGACUGAGACACGGCCCAGACUCCUACGGGAGGCAGCAGUGGGGAAUCUUCCGCAAUGGACGAAAGUCUGACGGAGCAACGCCGCGUGAGUGAUGACGGCCU